CCUACGGGUGGCAGCAGUGAGGAAUAUUGGUCAAUGGACGAGAGUCUGAACCAGCCAAGUAGCGUGAAGGAUGACUGCCCUAUGGGUUGUAAACUUCUUUUAUAUGGGAAUAAAAUGUUCCACGUGUGGGAUUUUGUAUGUACCAUAUGAAUAAGGAUCGGCUAACUCCGUGCCAGCAGCCGCGGUAAUACGGAGGAUCCGAGCGUUAUCCGGAUUUAUUGGGUUUAAAGGGAGCGUAGGUGGAUUGUUAAGUCAGUUGUGAAAGUUUGCGGCUCAACCGUAAAAUUGCAGUUGAGACUGGCAGUCUUGAGUACAGUAGAGGUGGGCGGAAUUCGUGGUGUAGCGGUGAAAUGCUUAGAUAUCACGAAGAACUCCGAUUGCGAAGGCAGUUCACUGGACUGCAACUGACACUGAGGCUCGAAAGUGUGGGUAUCAAACAGGAUUAGAUACCCUUGUAGUC
RNAcentral lists this ribosomal RNA (460 nucleotides) under uncultured bacterium. RNAcentral describes it as "partial 16S ribosomal RNA". It matches the Rfam family "Bacterial small subunit ribosomal RNA", at positions 338 to 795 of the family's 1533-position model. The record is from RNAcentral.